Gossypium hirsutum (cotton) is the source of this 145-nucleotide non-coding RNA. Lineage: Eukaryota; Viridiplantae; Streptophyta; Magnoliopsida; Malvales; Malvaceae. The record is from Rfam.
UGUUAAAAAUUCUAUCUAUUUCUAUUAUUAAGAAUUAGCGUAAUUGAUAAAAUAAUCAAAUAGUUACACGUAACGUACUACAUGUACCUUGUUCUAAUGUAAAGAGACCGGUUUUUAACAACAUGAAUGAAUAAAAAUUUUAACA